UAUCUCCAGUAUAUGUUCCAGGUUAAGGUCAAGAAGAAAAUGUAAUGCAUUAAUGUAUUCUCACACACACAUACAUGCAAACACCACAUAUUCACACACACCUGCACUGAACACACAGCUCCACAACACAUCACACACACUACUUAUUACACACACGGCAAACCUAGAACAAUUAAUUCCGAUGGUGGUGAGCAGUGAAGCGAAUGUUGAAUGAAUGAUAUGAGAACAGAUGUCCUGAUUGGGGUUUCUCUCUAGUCCCAGGAGCCCCACAGGAUGUGCUGCUGGUCGAAGAGGAUGUGACCUCAUCAGUGUUUGUGAGCUGGGGAGCCCCAGCAGGGGGCGUGGAGGGGUACAAGCUGCUGUUGUGUCCGUCAGGGGACAAGUCGUCAUGUCGUGAGAUGGUGGUUCAUAGCAACAGUCUCCAGGUUGGAGGUUUGACCCCAGGAUCAGAUUAUGACAUCACCGUCCUGAGCCUGCUGGUAUCAGACUUCAGCCAGCCUGUCACUACACAGUUCUCCACACGUCCGGCCGGUGUGUGUUCCCUCUCUCUGCUCUAUGUUAACUCUUCCUGUGCCGUGGUGAGGUGGGACGCUGCCAUUGGCCAGUUUGACUUCCACAGGGUAACUGUUGGAAAUGGCUCGCAAACACAUACGAUAGAGGUCUCCAAGGAGAGGCAGGUUGCUACAGUAACUGGGUUGAGGGAUGGCUGUAUGUACAACAUGAGCGUGGAGCACAUUAGACGAGGAGAGGCAGGGACAGCUGCCUCCCUGACUGUAACCACAGGUACCUGAGUGUAACACAAAACUACAUUAAUGUGACCACAACUUCCCUGAUUUUAAGCAUGGGUUUAAGCAGGGGUCUCUCAAUAAGAUAUACAUGUGCAUAAAAUAUUUCUCUCUCUCUCUGUGUCCCUCCAUCUCUCCCCCCCUCUCGUUUUAUCUUUCUCUCUCUCUGUAUCCCUUAGUGCCGGGCCGUGUGCGGGGUGUAAAUGUGGUUAGUGUGUCUGCUCAGAACUUCUCUCUGCGUUGGGACCAGUCAGAGGGGUGUGUGGACCAGUACCUCGUCAGCCUGCUGCCCAACCAAGGAACUGUCUCUGUCUACCGCACACACGACAGACUCGUACAGGUACACACACACACACACGGAAGCUAUUACACAGUAGAUGUUAUCAGUAGAAGUGGAGACAGGAGUUA
RNAcentral lists this long non-coding RNA (1193 nucleotides) under Salmo trutta (river trout). RNAcentral describes it as "lncRNA (ENSSTUG00000032874.1)". The record is from RNAcentral. Lineage: Eukaryota; Metazoa; Chordata; Actinopteri; Salmoniformes; Salmonidae.